UUUGAUAUGUUGAGUGAAUUAUGGAGACAGGAAAGGCAGCGGUUACCUGUAUUUCCCUGGAGUUGUCAACAGGUGGCGCUAUGUGUGUUGCGUACGAGAUUAUGCGCAUGCAUUCUCACCUCGGUCAUUGUUUUGAUAGACAUGCAACGAGUAGUGUGAGAGAGACGCGCACUCUCUGGGAACGGUGUACACAGUGUAUGUUGAGCAUUUCAGCCCUCGUGAAGUGAAUGUGAUGUUCUGUAUGAGCUGAUUGUUACGCUCUUCACCAAUCAGCUGAUGACCCUAUUCAAUAUGAAGGGGAAGGGCAAAAAAGAUUAAAUUAGAAUUGAAGACAAGAAAUUGUUUUCAGCAAUAAAAGCUGCUGUCAUGAAAUGGGACCCAGCUGCAACAGAGUCCCAAAUAAAGUCUGCUGCAUCUGAUCAUAUGAAACAUGCCCCCGGGAGAGUCGGGGUGGUGGCUGUAAAUUAAUAUAUUGUGGACCUUAUAGCAGCCACAUUUUGUUAAUUGUUUACUGUUUUAACAAAACUUUAUAGCACUUUUAUUUAUAACUUUACUGUUCUGGCUUUUAAGUUUUAUUAUAUUAUUGUGUUCAUUUAUACUUGACUGUUCAGGUUUUAAGUUGUAUUGUGUUAAUUUAUACUUUACUGUUCUGGUUUUAAGUUGUAUUGUGUUAAUUUAUACUUUACUGUUCUGGUUUUAAGUUU
This is a long non-coding RNA of Xyrauchen texanus (razorback sucker), 704 nucleotides long. RefSeq lists it as uncharacterized. The transcript is spliced from 4 exons. NCBI's taxonomy places the organism in Eukaryota, Metazoa, Chordata, Actinopteri, Cypriniformes, Catostomidae. The record is from RefSeq and is a predicted model, not a curated record.